GGUAGCUUCAUUUUGCUCAGAAGAGGAGGCCUACUCACAGCAUUCUCCAAUGACUUGAAGCCCCCCACCCAACAUCCAGUUGGACAUGCUUGGAUUAUCCCCAGUCUUUUUGCUACUUUCAAGGAGGAGCAUGUGCCCACCAAAGUGAGAUCCUGCAUAAUGUUGAGUUCAGUCUUGGCCAUCUCCCCAGUUUCCAGGAGGAGAUCCAAGAGCUGUCCACCAAGAAUCUGCAGCCACCUUUGGGGGUCUUCCAUGGAUUCACUGUGACCAAGGAGACAAGCUGUUACCUAGCAACGUGGCCUUUUAGAGGUAUUGUUACCAGUCUCUUAGAGUUCAUCAGAGGGAUUCUUGUGCUUCUACAGCAGUGUUAAAAGUGAACACUGUUUACAGGGAGUUGGCUAAACUGUCAUUUAACUGAAUCUUCCUUACAGCAAUAUAAAUGAUAGAAAUAAAC
Ictidomys tridecemlineatus (thirteen-lined ground squirrel) is the source of this 454-nucleotide non-coding RNA. NCBI's taxonomy places the organism in Eukaryota, Metazoa, Chordata, Mammalia, Rodentia, Sciuridae. The record is from RefSeq and is a predicted model, not a curated record.